This 73-nucleotide transfer RNA is filed under the name Acavomonas peruviana. Its description in RNAcentral is "tRNA-His". It matches the Rfam family "tRNA". Rfam says of the family: Transfer RNA (tRNA) molecules are approximately 80 nucleotides in length. Lineage: Eukaryota; Colponemida; Acavomonidia. The record is from RNAcentral.
GUAAAUAUAACUUAAUCGGUAGAGUGCUAAAUUGUGGCUUUAGAUGUUGGGGGUUCAAGUCCCCUUAUUUACC